CGCGUGAAUUUGCUGGGAGAGUGGAGGGGCCGUGGCCACACACACGCCGCUGCUCGGCCUCUCUGGGGUGGCAAAUGGGCACUGCCGUGUCUGCAGUCAGCAGCACUCAGCUCAGUUCAGUGGAGAAUAGACUUACUAGGAUUCGGAUGGUAGGAUGAUGGUAGCAAAACUAGGAACUGACCAACAGAAAAGCCAUUCUCGCUUCGGGCUGGCCCUGAGCAAAACGACACAGAAAAUAAGAGGUGGUUUCAGCACCCUAAAUGUGCUUCCCACCCAGCUCACGCCCAGGCUCAGGCGUCUUUCCCCAACCUCUUUCUCCUAUCAAAGUGACUCGCAUGAAAGAGAUAGCACCCAAAGAUCUUACUUGGGGCCUUGCUUGGUACUCACUGGCCACGUGGGAGUAAGAAUCCAACCUACAGAGCUCUCUGCUGAUACAUGGGUGUAUCAAAGAGAACUUUAAAUAGUGUGGAGACUGGACAAACUUUAUCAAAUCUUAAGAAACACCAACAGAGUGGGUUUCCUGAAAGGGAUCUUCAGAUAUCAGAAAGAGCCCUUAGGCUUCCUGUCCUGCGUUAGCCACUCGAGAAAAAGAAGUGAUGACCCGUUGAUACUAACUCACUAAAAUCUCUCUGCUGAAAGACGGGUUUUUUGAGGCAGUUUUGCUCUGUCGCCCAGGCUGGAUGCAGUGGCGCCACCUCAGCUCACUGUAGCCUCCCCACCCCAGGUUCCAGUGAUUCUCCUGCCUCAGCCUACUGAGUAGCUGAGACUACAGGUAUAUGCCACCAUGACUGGCUAAUUUUUGUAUUUUUAAUAGAGACGGGGUUUUCACCAUAUUGGCCAAGCUGGUCUCAAACUCCUGACAGGUGAUCUGCCUGCCUCAGCCUCCCAAAGAGCUGGGAUUACAGGCAUAAACCACCACACCCAGCUGGAUUUCAGGUCCUCUUAUCUAGUGGCAAGGUAUAGGGAGCUCCCAAACAACUUGUACAUUACUUCCAAAAAUACUGCCUUAUUUAAUUGUGGAGCAGGAAAAACUGUCUGGUGGCUGACAAUAACUGAAGUUCCAAAGUUACUUUUUAUAAACUUGAAUUAUGAAAAAUAGAUCACAGGUUAUUGAGCAUUCAUGCAUUUGGAGCAGUAAUAAUGAAAGUCUCUGUUAUCUUUUCACUUAUGUUGUUGAGAUGCAAAAUAUAUGCUUCAGAGUGUGCAAAAACAAUAAUGUUUAAGACCAUGUGUUUUUAAGUUGUAUUGUUUUAAUUGACAAAUAAUAGCUACAUAUUUAUUUAGGGUACACAGUCAUGUUUCAUACAUAUGAUGUAUAAUUAUUUCAGAUCAGGAUAAUUAGCAUAUCUAUCAUCUCAAACAUUUAUCAUUUCUUUGUGUUGGGAAGGUUCAAUCCUCCCUCUAGCUAUUUGAAACUAUAUAUUAUUACUAUUAUUAUUGUGUGUGUGUGAUGGAGUUUGCUCUGUCACCUAGGCUAGAGUGCAAUGGUGUGAUCUCGACUCACUGAAACCUCCAACUCCCAUGUUCAAGUGAUUUUCCCGCCUUGGCCUCCCAAAUAGCUGGGAUUACAGACAUGCACUACCAUGCCUGGCUAAUUUUUUGUAUUUUAGUAGAGAGGGGUUUUCACCGUGUUGCCCAUGCUGGUCUUGAACUUCUGAGCCUAGGCAAUCUGCCUGCCUUGGCCUCCCAAAGUGCUGGGAUUACAGAUGUGAGCCACCGUGCCUGGCCUAUUAUUGUUAACUGUAGUCACCCUACAGUGGUGUGAAACCCUAGUACUGAGUUCUUCCAUCUGGCUAUAAUCUUGAAUCCUUUAACAAAUUCCUCCUUAUCCCUACCUUUUCCUCCCCUUCCCAGCCUCUAGCAUCCUCUGUUCUACCUUUUACUUCUAUGAGAUCAGCCUUUUCUAGGUUCCACAUGUGACUGAGAAUGUGUGGUGUUUAUCUUUCUGUGCCUGACUUAUUUCACUUAAUAUCCUCCAGUUUCAUCCAAGUUGCUGUGAAUGACAGGAUUUCAUCCUUUUUUAUGGCUGAAUAGUAUUUCAUUGUAUACAUAUACCAUGUUUUCCUUAUUCAUUGAUCUAUUGUUGGACACAUAGGUCAAUUCCAUAUUGGCUAUUCUGAAUAGUGCAGCCAUAAACAUGAGGGUGCAGAUUUCUCUUUGAUAUAAUGAUUUCCUUUCGUUUGGAUAUAUUUUAAGUAAUGGAUUUCUAGAUCAUGUGAGUAGUUCUACUUGUAGUUUUCUGAGGAACCUCCAUUUAUUCUCCAUAGCAGCUGUAUUAGCUUACCCAACAGUUCCCUUUUCUCUGCAUUCUCACGAGCAUUUGUAAAAGCAUGUGCUUAAAAAUAUGUGUUCAGCUGGGCAUGGUGGCUCACACCUGUAAUCCCAGCACUCUGGGAAGCCUGAAAGGGAUCUUCAGAUAUCAGAAAGAGCGCUUAGUCUUCCUGUCCUGUGUCAGCUACUCAAAAAGAAAAAGAAGUGAUGACCCCCUGAUACUAACUCACUAAAAUCUCUCUGCUGAAAGACAGGUUUUUUGAGACAGAAUUUUGCUUUGUCGUCCAGGCUGGAUGCAGUGGCGCCAUCUCAGCUCUCUGCAGCCUUCACACCCCAGGUUAUAGUGAUUCUCCUGCCUCAGCCUACUGAGGAGUUGGGCGGAUUACUUGAUUGGAGACCAGCCUGGCCAACAUGGUGAAAUCCCAUCUCUACUAAAAAAAAAAAAAAUAGCUGGGCAUGGUGGUGCAUGCCUGUGAUCCCAGCUACUCCAGAGGCUGAGGCAGAGGUUGCAGUGAGCCAAGAUCGCACCACUGCACUCCAGCUUGGGGGACAGAGCAAGACUCUGUCUUAAAAAGAAGAGGUUGUUGGGUUAGACCGUGGUAAUUCAUGGUCUGUUCAGAAAUGAAAUUGGUUGCUUGAUGCUGUUUCUUAAUGAAUUCAAUCUAAAAUUAUGAGGCAAAAUGGUGCUUAUAUGUUAACACUUAUACUGUGAUGAAGUCAUUUCAACAACCAACUUUCUUUGACUCACACGUGAUAUUGAGCUGAUUAAUAUACUUCCUGUGCUGACAAAAGGUAAAACAAAAGCAAGAUCUCUAUUUCUACAGAAAUUUGCAUCGGAUAUAUUUUCUGAGCUCAAACUGUCAAACUACAGUUCCAGCAGUUCGUCAGACAUUAGUGUGAAUAAACAGAACAGUCCCGUAUUUCAAACUUCAUUUAACUUUGCAAUUGAAAAGCUUCUCUCUAACCUUCAUUUAGAACUGAUUAUUCUGCAAUGUAAUGACAUAUUAAAAGGCAAAUAUCAAGAGAAGAUUCUAAUUAUAUAAAUGCCUUCCAAGCUCAAUUGAAAUCAUAUGCUUGUGGAUUAAUGUUAGUAUUUGACAGUGCCCACCUUCAUGAAAAGACAUUUUCAAAGAAAUAUGUAAAAUCUGUAAAACCUCAUUACAGAUCGGCUUAUUAACAGAUGAAAGUUUGCAAUCAGUUUGGAUAGGAAGCACUAAUAUUAAACCCCAAUUAAGUAACAUGUUAUUUACCAAAAAAGAAUUCUGUUGUCUCAUUAGUAGAUCCAUAUAAAAAUUGUACUGGCGGGCCAGGCACGGUGGCUCACGCCUGUAAUCCCAGCACUUUGGGAGGCCGAGGCGGGUGGAUCACUAGGUCAAGAGAUCGAGACCAUCCUGGUCAGUGUGGUGAAACCCCAUCUCUAUUAAAAAUACAAAAACUUAGCUGAGCAUGGUGGCAUGUGCCUGUAAUCCCAGUUACUCAGGAGGCUGAGGCAGGAGAAUUGCCUGAACCCAGGAGGUGGAGGUUGCGGUGAGCCGAGAUUGCACCAUUGUAUUCCAGCCUGGGUAACAAGAGUGAAACUCCAUCUCAAAAAAAAAAAAAAAAAAAUUGUACUGGCCAGGUGCAAUAGCUCACAAUACCUGUAAUCCCAGCACUUUGGGAGGCUGAGACGGAUGGAUCACCUGGGGUCAGGAGUUCAAGAUCAGUCUGGCCAACAUGGUGAAACCCCAUCUCUACUAAAAAUACAAAAAAAAAAAAAAAAUUAGCCAGGUAUAGUGGCGCACACUUAUAAUCCCAGCUACUUGGGAGUCUGAGUCAGGAGAAUACCUUGAACCUGGGAGGUGGAGGUUGCAGUGAGCAGAGAUUGUGCCACUGCACUCCAGCCUGGGUGACAGAGCAAGACCCCAUCUUAAAAAAAAAAGUACUAAAUUGUACCUAAUGUAUUAUUAUACUUUGAAUUUUGCCAAUAAGAAUGUUGUGGAAAUUUGUUUACCCUUGUUAUGUAAGUACCUACAUAGUAUCUUGAGUCUGCUUCUUGGCCUGCAAACACUAAAGCAUUUACUCUUUGGCCAUUUACAGAAGAAAUUAGCUGACCUUUGCUUUUAAGCAUCAAAAAGUGCACAUUUCCCUCAGUGAUCUAUUUGUAAAAUUGUAUAUUUUUAUGGCUGGAUGUGGUGGCUCAUACUUGUAAUCUCAGCACUUUGGGACACUGAGGUGGGAAGAAGGAUUGAGACCAGAAGUUGGAGACCAGCCUGGGAAGCAUAGCAAGGCCAUGUCUGCACAAAAAAAGAAAAAAAGAAAUUAGCCAGUCAUGGUGGUACAAGGCUGUAGUCCCAGCUACUCAGGAGACCGAGGCAGGAUUUUAAUUGAGACCAGGAGUUUGCAGUUACAGUGAGUCAUGAUUGCACCACUACUCUAGCCUGAGCAGACUGAGCCCUAGCUAAAAAAAAAAAAGGGAGUGAGAGUGAAGAGGCUGAUGGUUCUAAUAACUUGGGAAGCUGAGGUGGGCUGAUCACUUGAGACCAGGAGUUCAAGACUAGCCUAGUAAGCCCAGGCUAAAAUACAUAGCAAAACCCCAACUUUACAAAAACUACAGAAAAAAAAAAAUGCCAGUUGUGGUGAUGCACACCUAUAGGCCCAGCUACCUGUGGAGGCUGAGGGGCUGGGGUGGGAGGAUCACCUGAGGCCCAGGAGAUAGAGGCUACAGUGAGCCAAGAUCAUACCACUGCACUCCAGCCUGAGCAACAGAGUGAGAUUCCUUCUCAAAAAAAAAAAAAAAAAAAAAGUUGUGUUUUGGUAAAUAUUAUUUACAUUCAUUGUAAAAAUGCAUACUAUAUAGGGGUAAUAGAAGAAAGAAGCUACCCUGACACCCCACUACCCAGAGAUAAGUGUUGCAGGUUUGAGGAGGAGCUUAUUCUGGUUGUGAUUUGUGCCACAUUCCUAAAAUGAGUCCCUUGGAACACUAGUUGCUCAGAUGACUCUUAGCAAGAGGACUUUCAUAAUGUUUCUUGAUGACAUUUUUAAAAAUUCAUAAAUGAAGAACAUCAUCAUUGUGAAAAGCUUAGGAAAUAUAGAAAGGCAUAAAUAUCAGUUUUAAGAAAUCAUCUUUAAUCCUGGGGUAUCAGUAACCCUGGCAGAAUUUGAUGGCAUACUCAACCUGGAUAAUUGAGGAGAGUUUAAUUAAGGACAAGAGUUUGAGGGGUGAGGGACAACUACAAGGGAUGAAUGGAUGUUCCUGGAGUCAAUACCAACUGGGAGCCAACCUCUGCUUGAGUAUAAAGGGGAGGAAAGCUUGUUACCAGAAUUCAAAGGGGAUGGCUACAUGGAGAGGGUCUUCAGUGGAGAGAACGCAGUCAAUCCUCUGGUACCGCAUAGGAAGAGUGCUGUGUGUGCCUCCCACUGGCCAAAACCAACUGGAUCAGCAGGGAGCCCCAGGGUACAGAGUAAGGAGGAGAAGAGGAAGACAGGUCUCCAGGGGCAGAGAAGAUACAGUACAGUUGCUACCAAAGCCUACAAAGCUUGUCUCCAACAAGCGCUAGUCUGUGAAUUCAUACUCCAAGACAAUUCUGUUUACUAUACACAAAGACAUUCAGAUCCACACACAUUUUUUUAAUGAUUCUUCUUUGUCUUUUUUUUUUAUUGCAUUUUAGGUUUUGGGGUACAUGUGAAGAACAUGCAAGAUUGUUGCAUAGGUACACACAUGGCAGUGUGAUUCGCUGCCUUCCUCCCUUUCACGUAUAUCUGGCAUUUCUUCCCAUGCUAACUCUCCCCAACUCCCCGCCCCCCGCUGUCCCUCCCCUAUUCCCCCCAACAGACCCCACUGUGUAGUGCUCCCCUCCCUGUGUCCAUGUGUUCUCAUUGUUCAACACCCGCCUAUGAGUGAGAACAUGCGGUAUUUCAUUUUCUGUUCUUGUGUCAGUUUGCUGAGAAUGAUGGUCUCCAGGUUCAUCCAUGUCCCUACAAAGGACACGAACUCAUCGUUUUUGAUUGCUGCAUAAUAUUCCAUGGUGUAUAUGUGCCACAUUUUUUUUUAGAGAUGAGAUGUCUCCAUGUUGCCUAGGCUGAUCUCCAACUCCUGGACUCAAGCUAUCCUCCCACGUCAGCCUCCCAAAGUGUUGGGAUUAAAGACAUGAGCUGCUUCACCCAGCCCAGAUCUUCACUCUUAAAACCAGAUUUGGGUUCCUGACCAGCCUGGCCAACUUGGUGAAACCCAUUUCUACUAAAAAAACAAAAAUUAGGUAGGGUGGCCUGAACCUGUAAUCCCAGCUACUCCGAGGUUGAGGCAGGAGAAUUGAUUGAGCUUGGGAGGUGGAGGUUGCAGUGAGCUGAGAUUGUGCCACUGCACUCCAGCCUGGGUGACAAAGUUAGACUGUCUCAGAAAAACAAAAAACAAAAACCAGAUUUGGGCCCACUGUGCUGUUCUCUUCUAAAGUAAAUCAGAGCUUGUUGGAGGGUGUCAACUCAAGUUGUCAGGACACCCAAGAAGUAAGGUAAGGAACAUGCUGCAACAUGCUGCUGAUGUUAGAAGAAGGGGAGCUAUCUCCUUGCCUCACGUUGGAAAAAGAUGUGAAGAGACCACAAAGAGAAGAUUUCCACUGCUAGAGUGAAUUGUACACUAUGGAUGGAAAAAUAAUUAUGAUCAUUGGUAUAAUCUGAGCCAUGGGUCCAUGAAGGUAUUUUUUAAAUGAUUCACAAACCAUAAACUUUUUGUAAAAGAUUCCUGUGGCACAACCAUGAAUUUCUGCUGUCUUUACCAAAAUUAUUAUUUUUUUACCAAAAUUAAAAAACUGUGUGAAUCUCACACAUAUUUUCAUUAUACAAUAUAACUACAAAAAUAUACAAAUAUGCUGUAUAUGUAAAAAUAGGUUAUGUGAAUCUGCAUUUGUUAACAUAAAAAAUAGUCCAUAACCUAUUAAGUGGGGGGGGGGGGAAGCAGGUUACAAAGACCAUGCUAUGCUUUACUCCCAUUAUAUGUGUGUGUGUGCAUCACGUGCCUCGGAAAAGUUUCAAAGGGUGGAUCCCUAAAUGUUUACAGUGAUCUUCUCUGAUGGAGGAGGGACUGAUUGCUGGUGUCUAGCAGUAAGUAUUCUUUUCACACAAACAAAUGUUUGAAACACAAAACACGUUUUCUACAGAAACAGGUGCGCCUAGGAUGGCUAGGGACGCUUUACGCCGGGGCAGCGUGUUCACAGUGAAGAGAGCAGGGAGUGGAUGUGGCCGGCGGGGGGCGGGUCCUCCUCCCCGCCAGCUCUCUAGGCCCCGGAGCCGCCUCUCUCCGGCCCUGACCCCGCCUCUGUCUCCCGAGCUGCGGACGCGCCUUUUCCGCCGCCUGCGGUAGCAGCCGAGGACCCGCCCCUGGGAGGCGUUGUUCGCCGCCGGAGAGUUUGGGGUGGCGAAGACGGGGCGCAAGACUGAGACGUGCGGCCCUGCUGAAGGAGCGAGCCUCGUGCGGCGGGGCGGCCCCAUCACUGCAGCGCCCGCCGUGCGUUGUUCCCCCUGGCGUUGGGCCCGCGCUCCCCAGGAUGGGACUCUGCGGCGGGCGCGGCCCGAGGCGCGUCGAGGCUCUCCUGACCGCGUUAUAAAUUCGUCCUUUCCUUUUCUCCUCACGGAUUGCAGCGAGCGCCCGUCUUGCUGCACCUUGAUCUUGGACAAUCCAGUGUUUUCUAAAAGAAGACAAGUAAGAAGGGUGGCUCAUACCUGCAAUCCCAGCACUUUGAGAGGCUGAGCCAGAGGAUAGUUUGAGCCCAGGAGUUCAAGACCAGCCUGGCAGACCCCUCUCCCCAACAUCUCUACAAAAAUAAAAAUUUAAAAAACUA
Callithrix jacchus (white-tufted-ear marmoset) is the source of this 8084-nucleotide long non-coding RNA. RefSeq lists it as uncharacterized. The record is from RefSeq and is a predicted model, not a curated record. Lineage: Eukaryota; Metazoa; Chordata; Mammalia; Primates; Cebidae.